GCGCCCGUAGCUCAGGGAUAGAGUAUCGGCCUCCGAAGCCGAGGGUCACUGGUUCGAUUCCAGUCGGGCGCGCCA
This 75-nucleotide transfer RNA is filed under the name Pandoraea sp. XY-2. RNAcentral describes it as "tRNA-Arg". It matches the Rfam family "tRNA". From Rfam's summary of the family: Transfer RNA (tRNA) molecules are approximately 80 nucleotides in length. Their secondary structure includes four short double-helical elements and three loops (D, anti-codon, and T loops). Further hydrogen bonds mediate the characteristic L-shaped molecular structure. tRNAs have two regions of fundamental functional importance: the anti-codon, which is responsible for specific mRNA codon recognition, and the 3' end, to which the tRNAs corresponding amino acid is attached (by aminoacyl-tRNA synthetases). tRNAs cope with the degeneracy of the genetic code in two manners: having more than one tRNA (with a specific anti-codon) for a particular amino acid; and 'wobble' base-pairing, i.e. permitting non-standard base-pairing at the 3rd anti-codon position. Lineage: Bacteria; Pseudomonadati; Pseudomonadota; Betaproteobacteria; Burkholderiales; Burkholderiaceae. The record is from RNAcentral.